GCAGCCAAUCAAGCCCUAAAAUAGUUCCAGCAGACUCAGCCCACUGAAUUUCUCUUUGUCCAGGCAACUGGUUAUUCCCGGAACCCGUGAAGGGAUAUUUCUCUGCACUCCUAACAGCAAGUACAGUACCUUAAGUAAAGAGACCACAAAUGAAAUUACGCGAGGGCUUGUUUAACGAGUCUGCGGGAGUUUCGUGAGAUAGCAUGGCUGUCAGGCUUGAAACCAGGCAGAGGCAACAAUGUUGAAAAAGUGAAAGCACAAGGAAGAAGGAUCAAUGGACUUUCAGAAGUUUAUAAAAGAGACAAAGUUUUGGAAAAGCUCAACUCCAUGGAAUAAAGUAAGCUAGCAAGGAUUACACUAGAAUAGUCACUCAUGCACAAGGGUGAGAAUUUCAGCAGCACUUAAAAGAUAUUUGGUUCACCCAUCAUCCAUUCCUGCUGAAGCUUGAGCAUGGAUUGAAAAACAAACUUCUGUGCUCAGUUGCUAAAGAACAAUGUAAAGAUCCAAUAGGAAAAAACCACUAAAGAUUUGAUCGAAGCAUGUACAAGAACAAAAGAAUGGAUUCUUCAGCACCCUCAACAAUCUGACGCCCAAGAAACAAAUGGAGGAGAUAUAAUUAACCACAAAGAGGCAAUCAGGAUGUGAUGGAAAAACACUUGGACAUUUCUCAAAUGGGACUAUCAUUUUGAGUCCAUUCCAAAACUUCUGGCACGUGGAUGAAAGAAAAAUAGAGGGUUAUGGUCUGUGUAGAAGGGAAGGUUUACAUUGAUCGUGGAGUAGAUUAAAAGUUUGGCACAACAUCAAAGGGGCCAUACUGUUCUAUGUACCUAGUCCAGCCUUUUCACCACUGCAGACAGACAACGGAGGCUGAAAAAGUCUUCGAAAAAUUUGCCAAUUCACGGACAGGACACCUGGAAUAUAAUGUUGUCCCUGAUACAACAGAGGGAAGAGCAGAACAAAGUCCUAAAAUACCCUCACACUAACCCCAUCAAUCACAUCCUGCCCUAUUUUCAGCAAUGCCAGCAGAUCCCACGUUUCAUCAGCUACCCAAAAACCCAUGAGAGGAAACGAGUUGUUUUCAAUCCCAAGGGAUUGCCUAAGAGAUGGUGGUGACUAAAGAGAUUUUAACUGAAACAUCAACUCAAUAGAACUGGGAAGAAAAAAGAAUCCAAUUGCAUAGAACAAGAUGGCACUGGGAUACAUCUACAUCUCUUCCAGGAUUCUGAGAGUGAUUAUAACUGGGAAAUUGCAUGAAUUUUCAUGAUUUAUGAGAAUAAAUGAAACAAUUAUGUUUUAAACUUAUCACUGAUCUAUGACUGAAAACUAUUUUAAACUGGCUAUAGAACAAGGGGGGGAAAAAUUCUCAAUUUUAGAUCCAGGACCACUAUUCAAUAUACAGAUGAUAGAAAUAAAUAUAUAACAGAAAGGAAUCAAAAUACAUAGUGAAAAUAACUGCCAAAGCAAUUAUCUAUUAGCUCAAAUGCAAUCGAAUGAACUUGAUGGUUGUUGAUUCCAACAAUUAACCUCCUUUCCUAAUAACAACCUUC
Long non-coding RNA from Mobula hypostoma (lesser devil ray), 1547 nucleotides. RefSeq lists it as uncharacterized. The record is from RefSeq and is a predicted model, not a curated record. Lineage: Eukaryota; Metazoa; Chordata; Chondrichthyes; Myliobatiformes; Myliobatidae. The transcript has 4 exons.